Molecule: ribosomal RNA, 980 nt
Filed under: uncultured bacterium
Lineage: Bacteria
Description: bacterial SSU rRNA
Rfam family: Bacterial small subunit ribosomal RNA
Source: RNAcentral
AGAGUUUGAUUCCCUGGCUCCAGAAAUCAACGCUGGCGGCGUGCCUAACACAUGCAAGUCGAACGAGAAAGUGGAGCAAUCCAUGAGUAAAGUGGCGACCGGGUGAGUAACACGUGACUAACCUACCUCCGAGUGGGGAAUAACUCCGGGAAACCGGGGCUAAUACCGCAUAACACCGCAAGGUCAAAGCAGCAAUGCGCUUGGAGAGGGGGUCGCGGCUGACUAGCUAGUUGGCGGGGUAACGGCCCACCAAGGCGAAGAUCGGUAUCCGGCCUGAGAGGGCGCACGGACACACUGGAACUGAAACACGGUCCAGACUCCUACGGGAGGCAGCAGUGGGGAAUUUUGCGCAAUGGGGGAAACCCUGACGCAGCAACGCCGCGUGGAGGAUGAAGCCCUUUGGGGCGUAAACUCCUUUCGACUCGGACGAUUAUGACGGUACGAGUGGAAGAAGCACCGGCUAACUCUGUGCCAGCAGCCGCGGUAAUACAGAGGGUGCAAGCGUUGUUCGGAAUUAUUGGGCGUAAAGGGCGCGUAGGCGGUGCGGUAAGUCACCUGUGAAAUCUCCCGGCUUAACUGGGAGCCUGCAGGCGAAACUACCGUGCUGGAGUGUGGGAGAGGUGCGUGGAAUUCCCGGUGUAGCGGUGAAAUGCGUAGAUAUCGGGAGGAACACCUGUGGCGAAAGCGGCGCACUGGACCAUAACUGACGCUGAUGCGCGAAAGCUAGGGGAGCAAACAGGAUUAGAUACCCUGGUAGUCCUAGCCCUAAACGAUGAUUGCUUGGUGUAGCAGUACCCAAUCCUGCUGUGCCGCAGCUAACGCGAUAAGCAAUCCGCCUGGGGAGUACGGUCGCAAGGCUGAACUCAAGGAAUUGACGGGGGCCCGCACAGCGGUGGAGCAUGUGGUUCAUUCGACGCACGCGAGACCUUACCUGGGCUCGAAGCGCAGUGGACCGGGGUGGAAACAUCCCUUCCUCUUAA